UGGGGAAUAUUGCACAAUGGAGGGAAAUCUGAUGCAGCGACGCCGCGUGAACGAAGAAGGCUUGCGAGUCGUAAAGUUCUUUUAUAUGGGAAGAUAAUGACGGUACCAUAAGAAAAAGCCCCGGCUAACUACGUGCCAGCAGCCGCGGUAAUACGUAGGGGGCUAGCGUUGUCCGGAAUCACUGGGCGUAAAGGGUUCGCAGGCGGAAAUGCAAGUCAGGUGUAAAAGGCAGUAGCUUAACUACUGUAAGCAUUUGAAACUGCAUAUCUUGAGAAGAGUAGAGGUAAGUGGAAUUUUUAGUGUAGCGGUGAAAUGCGUAGAUAUUAAAAAGAAUACCGGUGGCGAAGGCGGCUUACUGGGCUCAUUCUGACGCUGAGGAACGAAAGCGUGGGUAGCAAACAGG
This 403-nucleotide ribosomal RNA is filed under the name bacterium. RNAcentral describes it as "partial 16S ribosomal RNA". It matches the Rfam family "Bacterial small subunit ribosomal RNA", at positions 355 to 776 of the family's 1533-position model. The record is from RNAcentral.